Molecule: ribosomal RNA, 518 nt
Filed under: uncultured archaeon
Lineage: Archaea
Description: bacterial SSU rRNA
Rfam family: Archaeal small subunit ribosomal RNA
Source: RNAcentral
ACGGGGUGCAGCAGGCGCGAACACUUUACAAUGCGGGAAACCGCGAUAAGGGAACCCCGAGUGCCAGCAUCAAAUGUUGGCUGUCCAGAUGAUUAAAAAUCAUUUGUUAGCAAGGGCCGGGCAAGACCGGUGCCAGCCGCCGCGGUAACACCGGCGGCCCGAGUGGUAGCCGUUUUUAUUGGGUCUAAAGGGUCCGUAGCCGGCCUGAUAAGUCCUUUGGGAAAUCUGGCAGCUUAACUGUCAGGCUUCUAAGGGAUACUGUCAGGCUUGGGACCGGAAGAGGUAAGGGGUACUCCAGGGGUAGGAGUGAAAUCUUGUAAUCCCUGGGGGACCAUCUGUGGCGAAGGCGCCUUACCAGAACGGGUCCGACGGUGAGGGACGAAAGCUAGGGGAGCAAACCGGAUUAGAUACCCGGGUAGUCCUAGCUGUAAACGAUGCUCGCUAGGUGUCAGACACGGUGCGACCGUGUUUGGUGCCGCAGGAAGCCGUAAGCGAGCCACCUGGAAGUACGUCGCAAG